CCAGGCACCCCCCAAAUUACAGAACGUAAAAUUGUAUUGGAAGUUUUCAAAAGAUUUCAUGAUUUUUUUAAUUUCUGACUCUGCUUAUGUAGUUAAUGCGGUGCGCUCACUUGAAAUUGCAGGGCCAAUUCGGUCGACUAGUACUGUAUGUCAAAUUCUUUUAGAAUUACAAAAUUUGAUUUGGGCCAGAAAAAAUAAAAUUUUUAUACAACAUAUUCGAGCCCAUACUAAUUUGCCUGGUCCCAUGACCAGUAAUAACACCCUGGUGGAUGCUAGUACUCGUAGAAAGUUUAUUUUUCAUGCCACUCCGGUUGAUCUCGCUAGAGGAUUUCAUCAAAAGUUUCAUGUACCUGCUUUUACUCUUCAACAAAAAUUUAAAAAUCUCUAGAGCUGCAGCUUGUGAUGUGGUGUUAAGUUGCCAAAAUUGUGUUCAAUUUCACCACCCUCCUCAUGUGGUAUUAACCCUCGUGGUCUGAUCCAGCUAAAACUUUGGCAGAUGGAUGUCACACACAUAUCUCAAUUUGGAAAUUUAAAAUAUGCUCAUGUUUCUGUUGAUACCUAUUCCGGUAUUAUACAUGCUACUCUGAUGACUGGUGAAAAGGCUCGUAAUGCCAUUAGCCAUUGCUUAGAGGCAUGGGCAGCCUGGGGAAAGCCUGAUAGUCUCAAGACAGACAACAGGCCUGCCUACACUGCAAAGUCCUUUCAGGCAUUUUGCCAGACAAUGCAGGUCAAACAUAGUACAAGAUUGCCAUACAAUCCCCAAGGUCAAGGAAUUGUGGAAAGAGUACAUCGUACCUUAAAAGAGCUUAUACAAAAACAAAAAGGGGGAAUUGCCAGCAGCUGAACACCAAAAGAACAACUUUCUUUAGCUCUUUUUACUCUAAAUUUCUUAAUUUUGGAUGCGCAUGGCCGUUCUGCCAUGGAUCGCCAUGCUGCUACUACACCUAUAACUAAUGUAGAAGUAAAGUGGAAGGAUGUCUUAACUGAUGAAUGGCGUGGCCCAGAUCCCGUGAUUUCGGGAUCUAGG
Molecule: long non-coding RNA, 1027 nt
Filed under: Rattus norvegicus (Norway rat)
Lineage: Eukaryota; Metazoa; Chordata; Mammalia; Rodentia; Muridae
Description: long non-coding RNA NONRATT002921
Source: RNAcentral